GGUGCUGCAUGGCUGUCGUCAGCUCGUGUUGUGAAAUGUUGGGUUAAGUCCCGCAACCGAGCGCAACCCUUAUCCUUGUUGCCAGCGGUCCGGCCGGGAACUCAAAGGAGACUGCCAGUGAUAAACUGGAGGAAGGUGGGGAUGACGUCAAGUCAUCAUGGCCCUUACGACCAGGGCUACACACGUGCUACAAUGGCGCAUACAAAGAGAAGCGACCUCGCGAGAGCAAGCGGACCUCAUAAAGUGCGUCGUAGUCCGGAUUGGAGUCUGCAACUCGACUCCAUGAAGUCGGAAUCGCUAGUAAUCGUGGAUCAGAAUGCCACGGUGAAUACGUUCCCGGGCCUU
Molecule: ribosomal RNA, 345 nt
Filed under: uncultured Enterobacteriaceae bacterium
Lineage: Bacteria; Pseudomonadati; Pseudomonadota; Gammaproteobacteria; Enterobacterales; Enterobacteriaceae
Description: bacterial SSU rRNA
Rfam family: Bacterial small subunit ribosomal RNA
Source: RNAcentral